This 1201-nucleotide ribosomal RNA is filed under the name Thelazia callipaeda (thelaziosis nematode). RNAcentral describes it as "SSU rRNA". It matches the Rfam family "Eukaryotic small subunit ribosomal RNA", at positions 293 to 1487 of the family's 1831-position model. Lineage: Eukaryota; Metazoa; Nematoda; Chromadorea; Rhabditida; Thelaziidae. The record is from RNAcentral.
UAUCUCACAAGUGUCUGCCUUAUCAACUUUCGAUGGUAGUUUAUGUGCCUACCAUGGUUGUAACGGGUAACGGAGAAUAAGGGUUCGACUCCGGAGAGGGAGCCUGAGAAACGGCUACCACAUCCAAGGAAGGCAGCAGGCGCGCAAAUUACCCACUCUCGGCAUGAGGAGGUAGUGACGAAAAAUAACGAGACCGUUCUCUUUGAGGCCGGUUAUCGGAAUGGGUACAAUUUAAACCUGUUAACGAGGAUCUAUGAGAGGGCAAGUCUGGUGCCAGCAGCCGCGGUAAUUCCAGCUCUCAAAGUGUAUAUCGUCAUUGCUGCGGUUAAAAAGCUCGUAGUUGGAUCUGCGUCUUAGGACUUGGUCCAUCCGAUUGGAUGUGAACUAAGAACCUAGACUAAUAUUUAGCUAGUUUUACUGUAUGUUACCUUAAUUGGUUGCAUAUAGUGGCUGGCAUGUUUACCUUGAAAAAAUUAGAGUGCUUAACGCGGGCUUAUAAUGCUUGAAUACUCGUGCAUGGAAUAAUGAAAUAGGAUCUUGAUUGGUGUAUGCCUAUUUUGUUGGUAUAAAACAUAAAUACAAUUGAGAUAAUGGUUAAGAGGGACGGACGGGGGCAUUCGUAUCGCUGCGUGAGAGGUGAAAUUCUUGGACCGUAGCGAGACGCCCAACUGCGAAAGCAUUUGCCAAGAAUGUCUUCAUUAAUCAAGAACGAAAGUCAGAGGUUCGAAGGCGAUCAGAUACCGCCCUAGUUCUGACCGUAAACGAUACCAACUAGCGUUCCGUUGGCGGUAAAUACGCCUUGACGGGCAGCUUCCCGGAAACGAAAGUUUUUCGGUUCCGGGGGAAGUAUGGUUGCAAAGCUGAAACUUAAAGAAAUUGACGGAAGGGCACCACCAGGAGUGGAGCCUGCGGCUUAAUUUGACUCAACACGGGAAAACUCACCUGGCCCGGACACCGUGAGGAUUGACAGAUUGAAAGCUCUUUCAUGAUUCGGUGGUUGGUGGUGCAUGGCCGUUCUUAGUUGGUGGAGUGAUUUGUCUGGUUUAUUCCGAUAACGAGCGAGACUCUAGCCUACUAAAUAGUUUAUGCUGGAUAAAUGUAUUCGUACGCUAGUCCAGACAACUUCUUAGAGGGACAAGCGGUGUUUAGCCGCAUGAAGUUGAGCAAUAACAGGUCUGUGAUGCCCUUAGAUGUCCAGGGC